GUAGGUGACAAGCGUUGUCCGGAAUUAUUGGGCGUAAAGCGCGCGCAGGCGGUUCUUUAAGUCUGAUGUGAAAGCCCACGGCUCAACCGUGGAGGGUCAUUGGAAACUGGAGAACUUGAGUACAGAAGAGGAAAGCGGAAUUCCACGUGUAGCGGUGAAAUGCGUAGAGAUGUGGAGGAACACCAGUGGCGAAGGCGGCUUUCUGGUCUGUAACUGACGCUGAGGCGCGAAAGCGUGGGGAGCAAACAGGGAUUAGAUACCCUGGUAGUCCACGCCGUAAACGAUGAGUGCUAAGUGUUAGGGGGUUUCCGCCCCCUUAGUGCUGCAGCUAACGCAUUAAGCACUCCGCCUGGGGAGUACGGCCGCAAGGCUG
This 373-nucleotide ribosomal RNA is filed under the name uncultured organism. RNAcentral describes it as "partial 16S ribosomal RNA". It matches the Rfam family "Bacterial small subunit ribosomal RNA", at positions 527 to 896 of the family's 1533-position model. The record is from RNAcentral.